Long non-coding RNA from Phyllostomus discolor (pale spear-nosed bat), 4212 nucleotides. RefSeq lists it as uncharacterized. The record is from RefSeq and is a predicted model, not a curated record. The transcript is spliced from 2 exons. Lineage: Eukaryota; Metazoa; Chordata; Mammalia; Chiroptera; Phyllostomidae.
GGGAGGCGGUAACUGUGGAGGUGCGCGCGUGUGGGGCGGGGCUUGCGCAGGACUCGCGCCACACUUAGUUCACAGUGAGGCAGUCGGAGGCGACCCCGUCUUUCACUCCUGUCCUGGGCUCCCAUCACAAAGGAGGUGACACUUCUCAGAGCCCUGUAGCCGCCUCCUGGAGCAUGGACAGGGGGCCCGCCGAGCGCCCAGUUCCCCUCGGCGAAGGCCGGGGUUUCCUCUGCGAUUUGUGCCCAGGGCUUCACCCCCACUUUGUCUUCGAGGCCUCCCUCGCUUCGCCCGCUUGAGACGUGACACAGACGGGUCCCAGGACCACCUUCAGAGCCUUGGUUCUUUCCGAGACUGAAACGUUUCCUCUGAAACGCCCUCCCCCACUCUGUCGGACGGGAAAGAUUAGCUCGCCUUAUUGGGGGCUGGGCGGGGACUGGGAGGCAGCGACACCAGACGGAUCCCUCCGAGUUGCGUUGUUGGUUCAGAGGCCCUCAGUGGGUUCAGUUGAACUGUCUAUGUGACAAUUUUUCACUUUAGGGUGUUUCAAAUUUAGAUUUGGGCAGGAAGCUGGUUGGUGCACGAUCCUGAGUGGCUUUAAAUGAGCUAGCAGAGGCAUUUGACCUUUCUGGAUGAUAGAUAAAUACUGUCCUUUUACUUUGUAUAACCUGCUCAACCCAUAAAAAGUUUGGGAUUACUUGAUUAACAGGAUUUCGGAAACCGUCCAACCCUUGGAAUCCCUACCUGUGACACAGGUUUCUGCUGGGAGGGGGGAAAGGGAGGCCCCAGUAGGUUGCAGACACAGCAGAGGACUAGCGUAAUAAUUCAGCCACUAAUUGUGAAGUAAAGGGAAUGUGGCUUGGUCAAGAGAUACUUGACUAACCAGUAUUUCACUUGCUGAUGGACUCGUUCCCCAGGAGGAAAUAAUGGCAGUGAAGCCUUGAGCAAGAUGCAUUGCUUACUUUGGUUUUCUCUCCCACUGUGUGGCUGCGGAUCUGAUGUAUCUAUCUAUCUCCUGUUCUCAAGGUCUUCAUCCCCACUUUGUCUUCAAGAUCGUCCUUGCCCUUGGCCAGCCCAGGGCAUGUCACAAAUGUGCCCCAUGGCCAUCUGAGUCCUGAUGUUUUCCCCAGACCCUUGGGAACUGGCAGCUACUUCUCUCUUCUGAUGCAAACAGGAUGUGGAGCCCUGGUUGCUCCAGCUUGUUCCUGGGCUGUCUUCAAGGCAUUUCAGGUGGGGUGGGGGUUCCUUGUCUGUUUCCUUUGGAAAUGAAAGUAGUCAGAGUUGGACCUUCAUUUAACCAGAUCGGAAUCCCUUAACAGCUGUCUGACAAUGGAGCAAAAGUAUGAAGGCCACCGUAAGAAGGUAUAUUAAGAUUAACAAAAAAAGCAGGCAAUUCCAUAGAUUAUCACAGAUUCCACUUACUUGUGGGAAGAUUGGGUCAGAGUGGAAGAGAACCCAGCAGUUCUGUGUAAAGUAUUUACUAAAGACUCCCAUUACUGUGCCUUCUUAAUAUUAUAACUCAGGUACUAACUAUUGACAAGACCAAGGGACAAAGAAUGCAGUGGUUCCAGGGCCGUACAUCCUGGUGGUCCAUACUAUCAUUAUUCAUCUAAUGGUCAUCCUGGUUAUUACUAACAAAAGUGUUUAUGGCUAGAUUUUAAGGAUCACAGGUACUCAUUAACUAGAAGGAUUUGAUACGCUUACUAAAGGCAGUGAGUUUGGUCAAAGGUCACAGCAUGGAAGGACAUAAAGAGGGAAAUGGUUUUUUGUUCACAUCUACGCCUAUGUAAUGGCUGCGUGUGAAGUAUCAAGUAUGUCAAGGGCACACCCAAACUCAGAGAAAACAGAGUAUCCUGUUAAGAGUUGUAUCUGCUUUAGCAACUUCUUCCAGAGCAACAAUGGAAAAAGAUAGGUAGAGCUCUUUUGAGACUGCAAACCUUUAGGGGAAUUCUGUGCCUCAUUCUUUCCAGGCUAGUCCUGCUCUAUCUGUAGGUUUCCCCCCUGAUAAGAUUAAAUUCUAGAUGCCUUUGUUAUUGGAUGCUUUGAUGGUCCCUUACAUUCCAUGUUAAGGACAUUAAUAACAUCCACAUUUUGCCCAGUUGUCAAGCAAGUGACCAUUUGUCGCUAAGACGCUGUGGAAGCAACCAGUAGUGAUCACUCCCUGCUCCCCAGCGUUGCUGACAACAAAAUCUGUCGUGAUCACUCCUGGGGAAGACACCUUGGCAUCUGUGUUUGGAAAAGGCCACUGGUAAAUUGAUUUCUCGUUCAUUUUCAGCUGAGUCUGUUAGUUCCAGCCAUUUUGUUUUUUUCCAGGAAAUGAUUCUAUCUGCAGUUUUGAUUUCCCUUACCACAUCUAUCUUCAGGAAGUCGAUGUAAGAAAUGUCCAGAUCUGCAGAAAUUUUCAUGAGUUUGUUUGAGACAAAGUGACAACUGCCAGGAAGCAAAAUUUCUAUGGACUGAGAAAAUGUUCUAGAAAAUUGCAGUUUUGCAGCUUAUUUUAUACAUGAGAAUCAAAGUAGGAAGCAUAGGGAGAGUUACAUGAAACCCACUGUCAGUUGAUUAAGGGAGCAGGAGAAAGCGAAUCGGGGAAACCUCUGAGACUGGAUAAAGAGUAAACCGGAGAGACACAUACUUCUUUUACAUUGGUGGGUACAGGAUAGUUAAUGACUAACAUUACUAAAACUUAGAGAUGGUAUUCGGGGAACAAGAUAACAAUGAGGGGUUCUGUGGUCUCAUGCUGUGGUGCAGAAGUGGUGCCCCAACAGGUCUGGAAAAGAUUACUCUGAUUUGUCAAAGCUGUGUUAUCUUAGAUGCAAAAGGACGGUAGACAGGCUCCCUUAAGGUAAAGGUUCAUCUUUGUCAAGGAAGCUACAGGCCUAGGACAUGACUACCCACCAUGACUGUCUUUUUUGUUCGGAAUUUUUAUGUUCUGAUUAUCCUGUGUGGUUAAUUUCAGUCUCUGAGUCUGUAAGGCUGCCAUGCUGGCCUCCCCUGAGUUUGUCAGGCUUAGUAAGGGGCCCCUUUUUCGUCCGUAAGUCCCAUGCGACACUGACCAUCAAAGACAUUUAUUUAAUACCUGAUUUUUGUGCUGGAGAAAAAGUAGAAAUGUAUUCUCCUGUUCUGCUUGAUAACUGUAUUCAUAAUUUGUCACUCAUAACAGGAGAGAUUUAACAGCUAGAAUUUAGAGAUAUUUGCGGGGUGCGGGGUCUGUGUUUAUGUAAUUUUAGGCAUCCCGAGCAGGAGGAGACAUGGAAGUGAGUGCUCCCUUUUGUUUCUCCUGAAAUUUAAAUGAAACUGACUUGGGAAACCCAAACCUUGCUUCCGCAACAGGGAGGAAACAAGACAGAUGUGCCUUUCCUUUGGGCUGUGGUGUUUAGAACAGAACUAGAUCCGUCCCCUUGCUCUGGACGGUCCUGUCUGCUGUGGGGACUCCCAGCUGAUGUGUUGUUACUUGAGCUCCCUGUUUCUGAUUGCUGUCCCACCAGCAAGACCCUGGGACUUUGUUCUCAGCUAACCACUCUCUGGCUACACCUGUAACAGUACAAUCUAUCCACUUAUCAAACAUUGGAACUGAGCCAGCUGUCGAAUGACCUGGUCUGAUAGAAGUAGGUAAUAGUGGGGUCUUCCUGUCAGUGAGGUCUUCUGCCAUCUGUAACUAGCAAAUAUUUGGAGAACUGUUACCAGGUGAAGGCUUGAAUUCCAGGAAAGGGGUUUAUUGUUUUUUAUCUUUAUACGUCUUUAAAGGACCUUAGGAUGUUGUUGUUAUUUCCAGUGGCACCUGUUGUGUGUAAGAUGGGUCCUUAUGCCAAGGUUGGGCAGCAGGAGCAUUAGUGGUGUGGACAAAAAAGUGGUUCCACAGAAAGUAACUUCACAGGAUAUUCUAAUCAUAAAUCCUAACUGAGCAGGUCAUGGGGGGUAGUCACACCUCAGACGUGAAACUUCUUCAGUAAAAGGCCAUCUCUGCCUUAAGCAAGCCCUGUCCAUUGUUUCUGCGCAUCUAGGUUGGCACGCCUUUGAAAUAAGUGUGACCACCCUCAAGAUAGCACAUAAUAUUGUUAACUGUCCUGUAAUCCAAUCCCCACUUUGCUUUCUUCCACCUACAUGUAAUGUUCCUUCCGUUCCUUCCUUAACCUCAAAUGCAUGAAAGAAACUGCAAAACUGUCAGUUCUGCAGAGCAUUUAAGAUCUCGCUUCCUGGCACCUAUUGUCAGUUUAG